This is a long non-coding RNA of Apus apus (common swift), 541 nucleotides long. RefSeq lists it as uncharacterized. The record is from RefSeq and is a predicted model, not a curated record. Lineage: Eukaryota; Metazoa; Chordata; Aves; Apodiformes; Apodidae. The transcript has 2 exons.
GCCGCGGCUCGGCGCGUCCCGGCGGGGGCGAAUCAGAGGCCGCGGGGCGGGCGCGGGGGCCGGGCCCGGCUCCGCAUCGUCGGGACAGCCGCCCGAGGGUGGGAUUUUGGCCUCCUCGGUCGUGGGGAAGCGGAGGAGCCUGUCCCAGGUGGGGAGGGGGCAGCUGGCUGCCCCUCGGGAGCCCAGCGGGAGGGCGGUUCACUCCUCCUGGCAGUAGAACGUUCGGAGGGGGGACUUGCCCCAGAGACUGGCUCAAAACAGAGCUCGGGGAGAGGGCAGCGGGGCUGUGCAGUUUUCAGCAUCAAAGGGCCCAGUUCAAAUGGCCAUUUUAAAAUCUCUGGUUGCCUUCUCUUUCCAGGGGGAUUCAGCAUUUGAUGCCUUUUUCUCCUUUUGUCAUCAGCUCUGUGCUGUAGUUGUGCUAAGCCCUGACAGCACGUUUCCUGGCAACUUCCAGUAACUUUAUCUGGCACUUUCUUUCACCCAUUUCUGCAAGAUACUGAGUUAUAUUAACUGCUGGAAUAAAGCUUUAUAAAUUCAGAAA